Molecule: long non-coding RNA, 566 nt
Organism: Columba livia (rock pigeon)
Lineage: Eukaryota; Metazoa; Chordata; Aves; Columbiformes; Columbidae
Exons: 2
Source: RefSeq, a predicted model, not a curated record
UUUUUUGGUUUUCAGCAUUUCUUCCCCAAAGGCUGCAUGACAAACUGUUUAAUUGAGCAGCCAGCGCUGGCUGAUGUUUUGUUUCAGCACGAUUUAAACCAAAGCGAAGUAUUUUUGUUUGCUAAACUCGCUCAAGCCUUUUCACAGCAGGGUUAUGACAGCGGCACGGAUUCUUCGCAGACGGUGUCGCCCCCGGGGAAGACGCACUCGGGAGGAAGAAACAAAUGGGAGUAAAAAAGCUGAGAUAUUGGCCAUUUCCUCACAAAUGAGAAGCCUGCUUUUCCGUCUGUUCUGGUGAGCCUGUUUGGAGCCAUCGUUCCCAUUUGGAGCAGGGAGAAUCAGCCUCCAGAGCAGCCUACGCUGUUGCAUCCAGCAUUCAAAUUACAUUAUCUUUGUUUCUUACACUGACGACGAGACACUGAGAUUGGAGAACUCCACUGGGCAUUAAAGCUGCUCUGAAGGGCUUGCAUGAUUUGAAAUAAAUGUCAUAAAAAGAAAUCAUAAGUUCUUGUAUAAAAGCACAGCUGUCCUACUUUUUUUUUUUUUUUUUACUGGGGCACUUCUCA